RNAcentral lists this ribosomal RNA (152 nucleotides) under uncultured bacterium. RNAcentral describes it as "partial 16S ribosomal RNA". It matches the Rfam family "Bacterial small subunit ribosomal RNA", at positions 200 to 354 of the family's 1533-position model. The record is from RNAcentral.
GCCAAAGAUUUAUCGCUGGAAGAUGGCCUCGCGUCUGAUUAGCUAGUUGGNGAGGUAACGGCCCACCAAGGCGACGAUCAGUAGCCGGACUGAGAGGUUGGCCGGCCACAUUGGGACUGAGAUACGGCCCAGACUCCUACGGAAGGCAGCAG